Molecule: non-coding RNA, 139 nt
Filed under: Candidatus Brocadia
Lineage: Bacteria; Pseudomonadati; Planctomycetota; Candidatus Brocadiia; Candidatus Brocadiales; Candidatus Brocadiaceae
Description: c-di-GMP sequence
Rfam family: c-di-GMP-I riboswitch aptamer
About the family: GEMM was predicted in a large-scale screen for bacterial structured RNA regulatory elements.
Source: RNAcentral
AAGUAAUAUAGGCAAACCCUGAGUGAUCAGGCGACGCAAAGGAAAGGGUCUUUCGAGUACAGGGAUGUACAAGGACUUGUAUAAAUAAGUCCUUCUUUGUAUUAAGGAAGUAGUCCAAAAAGACAGCCUUACUGCUAAA